UACGUAGGGGGCAAGCGUUGUCCGGAUUUAUUGGGCGUAAAGAGCGUGUAGGCGGUUAGGUAGGUCCGUUGUGAAAACUCGAGGCUCAACCUCGAGACGCCGAUGGAAACCAUCUGGCUAGAGUCCGGAAGAGGAGAGUGGAAUUCCUGGUGUAGCGGUGAAAUGCGCAGAUAUCAGGAAGAACACCAGUGGCGAAGGCAGCCUUCUGGGACGGUACUGACGCUGAGAAGCGAAAGCGUGGGGAGCAAACCGG
Molecule: ribosomal RNA, 253 nt
Filed under: uncultured bacterium
Lineage: Bacteria
Description: partial 16S ribosomal RNA
Rfam family: Bacterial small subunit ribosomal RNA
Source: RNAcentral